This 424-nucleotide ribosomal RNA is filed under the name uncultured bacterium. RNAcentral's name for it is "bacterial SSU rRNA". It matches the Rfam family "Bacterial small subunit ribosomal RNA", at positions 355 to 776 of the family's 1533-position model. The record is from RNAcentral.
UAGGGAAUAUUGGGCAAUGGACGAAAGUCUGACCCAGCCAUGCCGCGUGCAGGAAGACAGCCCUAUGGGUCGUAAACUGCUUUUAUAUAGGAAGAAACCCCUUGUUUUCACAAGGGCUGACGGUACUAUACGAAUAAGGAUCGGCUAACUCCGUGCCAGCAGCCGCGGUAAUACGGAGGAUCCAAGCGUUGUCCGGAUUUAUUGGGUUUAAAGGGUGCGUAGGCGGGACAAUAAGUCAGUGGUGAAAGCCUGCAGCUUAACUGUAGAAUUGCCAUUGAAACUGUUGUUCUUGAGUCCGGUUGAGGUUGAUGGAAUAUAUCAUGUAGCGGUGAAAUGCUUAGAUAUGAUAUAGAACACCGAUUGCGAAGGCAGUCAACUAAGCCGGUACUGACGCUGAGGCACGAAAGCGUGGGGAGCGAACAGG